RNAcentral lists this ribosomal RNA (1428 nucleotides) under Salmonella enterica. RNAcentral describes it as "bacterial SSU rRNA". It matches the Rfam family "Bacterial small subunit ribosomal RNA". Lineage: Bacteria; Pseudomonadati; Pseudomonadota; Gammaproteobacteria; Enterobacterales; Enterobacteriaceae. The record is from RNAcentral. RNAcentral also lists the same sequence under 1 other name.
GAGUAAUGUCUGGGAAACUGCCUGAUGGAGGGGGAUAACUACUGGAAACGGUGGCUAAUACCGCAUAACGUCGCAAGACCAAAGAGGGGGACCUUCGGGCCUCUUGCCAUCAGAUGUGCCCAGAUGGGAUUAGCUAGUUGGUGAGGUAACGGCUCACCAAGGCGACGAUCCCUAGCUGGUCUGAGAGGAUGACCAGCCACACUGGAACUGAGACACGGUCCAGACUCCUACGGGAGGCAGCAGUGGGGAAUAUUGCACAAUGGGCGCAAGCCUGAUGCAGCCAUGCCGCGUGUAUGAAGAAGGCCUUCGGGUUGUAAAGUACUUUCAGCGGGGAGGAAGGUGUUGUGGUUAAUAACCGCAGCAAUUGACGUUACCCGCAGAAGAAGCACCGGCUAACUCCGUGCCAGCAGCCGCGGUAAUACGGAGGGUGCAAGCGUUAAUCGGAAUUACUGGGCGUAAAGCGCACGCAGGCGGUCUGUCAAGUCGGAUGUGAAAUCCCCGGGCUCAACCUGGGAACUGCAUUCGAAACUGGCAGGCUUGAGUCUUGUAGAGGGGGGUAGAAUUCCAGGUGUAGCGGUGAAAUGCGUAGAGAUCUGGAGGAAUACCGGUGGCGAAGGCGGCCCCCUGGACAAAGACUGACGCUCAGGUGCGAAAGCGUGGGGAGCAAACAGGAUUAGAUACCCUGGUAGUCCACGCCGUAAACGAUGUCUACUUGGAGGUUGUGCCCUUGAGGCGUGGCUUCCGGAGCUAACGCGUUAAGUAGACCGCCUGGGGAGUACGGCCGCAAGGUUAAAACUCAAAUGAAUUGACGGGGGCCCGCACAAGCGGUGGAGCAUGUGGUUUAAUUCGAUGCAACGCGAAGAACCUUACCUGGUCUUGACAUCCACAGAAGAAUCCAGAGAUGGAUUUGUGCCUUCGGGAACUGUGAGACAGGUGCUGCAUGGCUGUCGUCAGCUCGUGUUGUGAAAUGUUGGGUUAAGUCCCGCAACGAGCGCAACCCUUAUCCUUUGUUGCCAGCGGUCCGGCCGGGAACUCAAAGGAGACUGCCAGUGAUAAACUGGAGGAAGGUGGGGAUGACGUCAAGUCAUCAUGGCCCUUACGACCAGGGCUACACACGUGCUACAAUGGCGCAUACAAAGAGAAGCGACCUCGCGAGAGCAAGCGGACCUCAUAAAGUGCGUCGUAGUCCGGAUUGGAGUCUGCAACUCGACUCCAUGAAGUCGGAAUCGCUAGUAAUCGUGGAUCAGAAUGCCACGGUGAAUACGUUCCCGGGCCUUGUACACACCGCCCGUCACACCAUGGGAGUGGGUUGCAAAAGAAGUAGGUAGCUUAACCUUCGGGAGGGCGCUUACCACUUUGUGAUUCAUGACUGGGGUGAAGUCGUAACAAGGUAACCGUAGGGGAACCUGCGGUUGGAUCACCUCCUUA